GGGUGACUGCGUACCUUUUGUAUAAUGGGUCAGCGACUUAUAUUCUGUAGCAAGGUUAACCGUAUAGGGGAGCCGUAGGGAAACCGAGUCUUAACUGGGCGAAUAAGUUGCAGGGUAUAGACCCGAAACCCGGUGAUCUAGCCAUGGGCAGGUUGAAGGUUGGGUAACACUAACUGGAGGACCGAACCGACUAAUGUUGAAAAAUUAGCGGAUGACUUGUGGCUGGGGGUGAAAGGCCAAUCAAACCGGGAGAUAGCUGGUUCUCCCCGAAAGCUAUUUAGGUAGCGCCUCGUGAACUCAUCUUCGGGGGUAGAGCACUGUUUCGACUAGGGGGUCAUCCCGACUUACCAACUCGAUGCAAACUACGAAUACCGAAGAAUGUUAUCACGGGAGACACACGGCGGGUGCUAACGUUCGUCGUGAAGAGGGAAACAACCCAGACCGCCAGCUAAGGUCCCAAAGUCAUAGUUAAGUGGGAAACGAAGUGGGAAGGCUCAGACAGCCAGGAUGUUGGCUUAGAAGCAGCCAUCAUUUAAAGAAAGCGUAAUAGCUCACUGGUCGAGUCGGCCUGCGCGGAAGAUGUAACGGGGCUAAACUAUGCACCGAAGCUGCGGCAGCGA
Molecule: ribosomal RNA, 620 nt
Filed under: Providencia rettgeri
Lineage: Bacteria; Pseudomonadati; Pseudomonadota; Gammaproteobacteria; Enterobacterales; Morganellaceae
Also listed under: 4 other names
Description: bacterial LSU rRNA
Rfam family: Bacterial large subunit ribosomal RNA
Source: RNAcentral